Molecule: non-coding RNA, 1720 nt
Organism: Pimephales promelas (fathead minnow)
Lineage: Eukaryota; Metazoa; Chordata; Actinopteri; Cypriniformes; Leuciscidae
Source: RefSeq, a predicted model, not a curated record
UGUGUGUGUGUGUGUGUGUGUGUGUGUGUGUGUGUGUGUGUGUACAACUGCUGCAUACUCUAAAAGAACGAAAAUACUUCUACACAAGCUCGAUUUCACGUAUCAUUGCAAUGGGAAAUGUGUCAGAACGGAAUUCAGACGCAGCGCAAGUAUGAUUGCACCACAGCAAUGUAGGAACAGGACCUGUGUAGCCUACUUGCAUGUAUGCUUUGACCUCAGAUUGAGAGCAUGUUCAUGUGUGGCUGCAUCAGCGUCCCGUGUGUUUGUGUGUGUGUGUGUGUGUGUGUGUGUGAGAGAGAGUCUGUUCCUCAGUCUUGUCUCUGUCUCCCUCUUGCUGCCGUAGGUGGACUAACUCAGACAGCACAACCUCUAAAGUUUUUGGUUUUGUCGCCAAGAAGCCCGGCAGUGCGGUGGAGAACGUCUGCCAUCUCUUCGCAGAGCUGGAUCCCGAACAGCCUGCGACUGCCAUCGUCAACUUCAUUAACAAAGUAAUGCUGGCACCGCAGAGACGCUAAAGCCCCGGGGACGAGGAGCGUCAUCUUCACACCACACACACACACACACACCGCCGAACAUCACAAGACUCUAGUGUUGCACCUUCUGUCAAGUUUAAGAGCUUCACAACUAAAGACUGCAGGAACUUUUGGCAAAGACAACGGCUUUACUGUUGACUAACACGAUACCAAAGCACAUUCAAACCAAAAUAUAGAGAAUGUAACCGAACUAAAGCCAACCAUCUGUUGUGGUAUUGCGCUAUUUAAGCCUUUUUUGGUGUUCGUGGGAUUGUAAAUGGUUUUUAUAAAAUUGUCACCAAGAUUUUUUUUAAAUGUGUACAUUUUAGGCACUGCAUUGACCCCUGAAUACAAUAAAUGAUAUAUGCACUCCCAACAUAUGAAUUGCACAGAAAAAAGCCUUUGCAGAAGGACAAUCAUCAGUUUAUAUAUUUUAUUAAUCCACCAAAUUGAAGUGAAUUUUUGUCCUUUUAACUGGAAAGGAGGUGCCAUGGUUUCUGAAUCUGGCCCAGUGUCUGCGAAUGAUAGUGAAAGUUAAGAGCGUUUGAGAUGGAGAGCGAAAGAUGGAGGACCAGACAUGGCGUAAUCGUGACGCGGGGUUCCUGUAGUAUGAUGUCACAAUGGAAGGUUGAUGGUCAUGUGAUUAUUAGCCAGAGAGAAUUCGGUUGCCUUUAGAGUAGGAAAGGAACUUUAUUUAGUACCCUUUUGUGGUGUAGGCUAUUUUAUGCACCAUUCAUACAUGGAAUAAGACAGUGGUACAUAACCGUCCACAUCGUAUAUGAACCAUAGCCUGGUCAGCUGACCGUCACGCCUGACGUAUGGUGUAGUAAUGGAACAUUAUUAUUGGAAUGUAAUCGGUCUUUAAACUGACGGGACAGGUGGACGUUUCUGCAUUCCAUGUUUUGCAUCAUGAUCUCCAGAAGCGGUUUAUAACCAAAGACGUGUGGCUAUAUGUACUCAUUCAGUUACUAUAAGCUGUGCCAUUUAUUUUACUUGCCUGUAUCAACGAGUUAUUGCUGUUUUUGACAGAUAGUUAGACACGUCUAUGACGACUUUAAUAUAUUGUAUUCUGUAUUUUCUUAUUGAUCUUUGUAUGUAGUAAUAUAUUUUCACACAUGCAGCUGACUUGGAAAGUUAAAAAAAGACUACAUGGAAGGAUUUUGAUAAGAAAAGGAUUUUUUUAAUUAUCUUAUGCUAUUUUUUCAGUG